UGCCAGCCGCCGCGGUAAUACGAAGGGGGCUAGCGUUGUUCGGAAUCACUGGGCGUAAAGCGAGUGUAGGUGGACUAUCAAGCUAGAGGUGAAAGCCCAGGGCUCAACACUGGAACUGCCUUUAGAACUGAUAGUCUGGAGUAUUGGAGGGGAGUGCGGAAUUCCUAAUGUAGAGGUGAAAUUCGUAGAUAUUAGGAGGAACACCGGUGGCGAAGGCGGCACUCUGGACAAUAACUGACACUAAGACUCGAAAGCGUGGGGAGCAAACAGGAUUAGAUA
RNAcentral lists this ribosomal RNA (279 nucleotides) under uncultured bacterium. Its description in RNAcentral is "partial 16S ribosomal RNA". It matches the Rfam family "Bacterial small subunit ribosomal RNA", at positions 506 to 784 of the family's 1533-position model. The record is from RNAcentral.